RNAcentral lists this small RNA (357 nucleotides) under Scopulariopsis brevicaulis (arsenic fungus). RNAcentral's name for it is "eukaryotic LSU rRNA". The stretch from base 1 to 113 matches the Rfam family "5.8S ribosomal RNA", at positions 42 to 154 of the family's 154-position model. The record is from RNAcentral. Lineage: Eukaryota; Fungi; Ascomycota; Sordariomycetes; Microascales; Microascaceae.
AACGCAGCGAAAUGCGAUAAGUAAUGUGAAUUGCAGAAUUCAGUGAAUCAUCGAAUCUUUGAACGCACAUUGCGCCCGGCAGCAAUCUGCCGGGCAUGCCUGUCCGAGCGUCAUUUCUUCCCUCGAGCGCGGCUAGCCCUACGGGGCCUGCCGUCGCCCGGUGUUGGGGCUCUACGGGUGGGGCUCGUCCCCCCCGCAGUCCCCGAAAUGUAGUGGCGGUCCAGCCGCGGCGCCCCCUGCGUAGUAGAUCCUACAUCUCGCAUCGGGUCCCGGCGAAGGCCAGCCGUCGAACCUUUUAUUUUCAUGGUUUGACCUCGGAUCAGGUAGGGUUACCCGCUGAACUUAAGCAUAUCAAUA